AUGAACGCUGGCGGCGUGCCUAAUACCUGCAAGUCGAGCGAACAGACGAGGAGCUUGCUCCUCUGACGUUAGCGGCGGACGGGUGAGUAACACGUGGAUAACCUACCUAUAAGACUGGGAUAACUUCGGGAAACCGGAGCUAAUACCGGAUAAUAUAUUGAACCGCAUGGUUCAAUAGUGAAAGACGGUUUUGCUGUCACUUAUAGAUGGAUCCGCGCCGCAUUAGCUAGUUGGUAAGGUAACGGCUUACCAAGGCGACGAUGCGUAGCCGACCUGAGAGGGUGAUCGGCCACACUGGAACUGAGACACGGUCCAGACUCCUACGGGAGGCAGCAGUAGGGAAUCUUCCGCAAUGGGCGAAAGCCUGACGGAGCAACGCCGCGUGAGUGAUGAAGGUCUUCGGAUCGUAAAACUCUGUUAUUAGGGAAGAACAAAUGUGUAAGUAACUAUGCACGUCUUGACGGUACCUAAUCAGAAAGCCACGGCUAACUACGU
This 495-nucleotide ribosomal RNA is filed under the name uncultured bacterium. Its description in RNAcentral is "partial 16S ribosomal RNA". It matches the Rfam family "Bacterial small subunit ribosomal RNA", at positions 29 to 506 of the family's 1533-position model. The record is from RNAcentral.